RNAcentral lists this ribosomal RNA (492 nucleotides) under uncultured bacterium. RNAcentral's name for it is "partial 16S ribosomal RNA". It matches the Rfam family "Bacterial small subunit ribosomal RNA", at positions 29 to 507 of the family's 1533-position model. The record is from RNAcentral.
AGUGAACGCUGGCGGUAGGCCUAACACAUGCAAGUCGAACGGCAGCACAGUAAGAGCUUGCUCUUACGGGUGGCGAGUGGCGGACGGGUGAGGAAUACAUCGGAAUCUACUUUUUCGUGGGGGAUAACGUAGGGAAACUUACGCUAAUACCGCAUACGACCUACGGGUGAAAGCAGGGGAUCUUCGGACCUUGCGCGAUUGAAUGAGCCGAUGUCGGAUUAGCUAGUUGGCGGGGUAAAGGCCCACCAAGGCGACGAUCCGUAGCUGGUCUGAGAGGAUGAUCAGCCACAAUGGAACUGAGACAAGGUCCAGACUCCUACGGGAGGCAGCAGUGGGGAAUAUUGGACAAUGGGCGCAAGCCUGAUCCAGCCAUACCGCGUGGGUGAAGAAGGCCUUCGGGUUGUAAAGCCCUUUUGUUGGGAAAGAAAAGCAGCAGGUUAAUACCCCGCUGUUCUGACGGUACCCAAAGAAUAAGCACCGGCUAACUUCGUG